This 411-nucleotide ribosomal RNA is filed under the name uncultured Glomus. RNAcentral describes it as "SSU rRNA". It matches the Rfam family "Eukaryotic small subunit ribosomal RNA", at positions 569 to 987 of the family's 1831-position model. The record is from RNAcentral. Lineage: Eukaryota; Fungi; Glomeromycota; Glomeromycetes; Glomerales; Glomeraceae.
AGCAGCCGCGGUAAUUCCAGCUCCAAUAGCGUAUAUUAAAGUUGUUGCAGUUAAAAAGCUCGUAGUUGAAUUUCGGGAUCAAUAUGUUGGUCGUGCCUUGGUACGUACUAAUUUAUUGGUUUUUUCCUUCUGACGAACCAUGAUGUCAUUAAUUUGGUGUCUUGGGGAAUCAGGAUUGUUACUUUGAAAAAUUAGAGUGUUUAAAGCAGGCUCACGCUUGAAUACAUUAGCAUGGAAUAAUGAAAUAGGACGUUUGAUUCUAUUUUGUUGGUUUCUAGGAUUGACGUAAUGAUUAAUAGGGAUAGUUGGGGGCAUUAGUAUUCAAUUGUCAGAGGUGAAAUUCUUGGAUUUAUUGAAGACUAACUACUGCGAAAGCAUUUGCCAAGGAUGUUUUCAUUAAUCAAGAACGAA